Molecule: long non-coding RNA, 434 nt
Organism: Sus scrofa (pig)
Lineage: Eukaryota; Metazoa; Chordata; Mammalia; Artiodactyla; Suidae
Source: RefSeq, a predicted model, not a curated record
UUACUCAUUUUGAUGUGCCAUAAAUAGUGUAGAAGUGGACCACUAUGAGAGUGACAAUUAAGGUACUGUGCCCAGACUAAUUAUGUCCCUUGGUCUGUCAUCACUGUCAUUGGUGGGCAGAGAACAGAUGAAUGGAUUCCUGAUUCUUACUUGGAAUUGUUCAGUUAAGGGAUUAUAUAUUCUGAUCCUUUUUGCUUCUCGGUGUGAUCAUUUGACUAGAUCUGACCAAUGAAAGAAAUUGUCAAUGGAGCCUCUGCUUUUGUAAUCUGGCUUCUUCAGGCCCUGAGAGCUUCCUGCACUUCCAGACUCCCGCUCUCAAGAUAUGUUGAAGAGUCUCCAACUUGCUCAACAAAAAAGAUCUUUAUCCAGGAUAAUUAUCCCCUACCAUUCCACAGAGAUAUUCCAAGGGAAAACAAUAAGCCUACUUAACCCAA